Molecule: transfer RNA, 89 nt
Filed under: Sarcina sp. DSM 11001
Lineage: Bacteria; Bacillati; Bacillota; Clostridia; Eubacteriales; Clostridiaceae
Also listed under: 4 other names
Rfam family: tRNA
About the family: Transfer RNA (tRNA) molecules are approximately 80 nucleotides in length. Their secondary structure includes four short double-helical elements and three loops (D, anti-codon, and T loops).
Source: Rfam by way of RNAcentral
GGAGAAAUACCCAAGAGGCCGAAGGGGCUCCCCUGGAAAGGGAGUAGGUCGGGAGAACCGGCGCGAGGGUUCAAAUCCCUCUUUCUCCG